UCCGCGAGGCCGUGCUUGGCCAGCGCGCCCACCAGGUGCCCAUCCUGGGUGCUCCAGGGGAGAAAAAGAGAGGCCGUGCUUGGCCUCUGCUGCCGCCACCUCUCACCUUUUCCCCUCGCCGCCGCCGCCACCGCAUCUCUCGUCGCCGCCACCAACCUGGAUCGGUCUAGCCGGUGCCUUGUCCUUGCCCUUUCCCGGUUUUCGGCUUCCUCUCGCAGCAGUAGUGGCUUCGGUCUGCUACAAGGACGCGGUUGGCGCAGCCACCAGCGCUCUCGUGGCCAUGGCGCCUGCGAGGAUUACGCCGGAGGGAGCCCGCGUAAGAGGUUGUGUUGCGGCAGGACUCGCUGGUGCCGGAUCUUAGGGGAGCAGGAUGAGGGAGGCCGCGGCAGGGCGACAACUGUGGCGGGAGGAGGACGAGGUGGCCGAGCUUGGCAGGGGUUACUCAGCAACGCGUACGGCCGCUGCAGUGAGCUUCCUGAGAAUGCGAGGACUCAAUGUAUUUAAGGCAAAACAGAUGUUCUUGAACAUGCUGAAAUGGCGUCAAUAUUGUGUUUGUUAAUGCCAUUUCAAAGGCUGAGUGAAGGCUGGCGCAGGUUCCCGGAAUGACAGUGAUGAUCCAGAGCUGAGUGAAGGCCUGGCGCAGGUUCCCGGAAUGACAGUGAUGAUCCAGAGCAUCCGUUAGAGCUGUGACGUGAGGCUACCAUAGGCAUCAGCAAGAUUAUACCUACCUAAUUUUAUGUGCAAGCAACGCCAUCGGCAGGGGUCUCGCGCUCUCACGCUGUCAUUGUGAGUAUUGUUUCAGUCAGUAUGUUUCAGUGGUUAUCACUUUCAGCCUCGUUAGUUUUUGUGUGUUCUGCUCUUGGAUAUGUAAAAUAAAGACCCUUUGCAGUCGAUGGGAAGUAGAUAACUUCAGAGGAGCAUCGAUGGUAAAGAAACUGUAGAAUAUGAAGAUACUACCGAUUUUUCUCCUUUUUUCAGAUUCGAUUGAACUGCAUCUAGGCUUCUAUUUAUGUUUUCCUGUUCUCUCGCAGAAUACGUUAUGUCUCCAUGUGUUACUGCAAAUCAGGUAUUUUCCUUUCUUUCUUUUACUGCAUCUCUAGGCUCACAGUUCUAUUUUUAGUAAGUGGUAGUGAUUUUAGUAGAAAAUAAUAUGUUGAACAUGAAAUAUUGUGCUUUCAGUUAAAGAACUAAUAUAGAAGAUUAUAGAUAUAUUAGUUAAUCCCCUAUUAGUUUCUUGGAUUGACGAAUCAUCCAGGCAUCAUGCUAGAUGGUAAAAAAGAAAGGAUUUUUACAUGCAUGUUCAUCUGAUCUGCCUUGAAGUGAUUAUUUCCCACCUUGUUUUAUCUCAUGACCAAUUCUAUUCUAUUUACUAUGUUACAUCAAAGUAGAUCCUUCUGUUUAAUUCCAUCGACCAUCUCUGUUUAAUCCCUCAAUAGGUCAAGUUAUGCAAACUAGCCAGUACCUUCUCAGUUGGCAAGUUUCAAAAGGGCAUGUUUUUCAUUAUGGAUUUUACAGAAGUCUUAUGACUGUAAAUGAAUGAAAUAGAGAUGGAUGCCGCCGCCAUCAUGAGAUCGGCGUUUGGGGCUACCUCAACAGUGUUGUUGAUCUGCAGGUUCGUCUCCCUCUCUGUUUUCAUAU
Long non-coding RNA from Lolium rigidum, 1638 nucleotides. RefSeq lists it as uncharacterized. The record is from RefSeq and is a predicted model, not a curated record. Lineage: Eukaryota; Viridiplantae; Streptophyta; Magnoliopsida; Poales; Poaceae. The transcript has 5 exons.